This is a long non-coding RNA of Ictalurus punctatus (channel catfish), 1276 nucleotides long. The record is from Ensembl. NCBI's taxonomy places the organism in Eukaryota, Metazoa, Chordata, Actinopteri, Siluriformes, Ictaluridae.
UUUAGACCAAUUGUCAAACAGUUUUUUCCUCAGAUUAGUAUUUUGAUGCAGAUGCAUUGACGCAUUCAAUUCAAUUUUAUUUAUAUAGCACUUUUAAGAAAAGACAUUCUGAGAAAGCAGCUUUACAGAAAUCCAGAUACUGAUGUACAGUAGAUUUAGAUCCAUUAUUAAAAAUCCAUGAGAAGACAUGUGAAAGAAACUUUGAGAGGAACCAGGCCCAAAACGGAACCCGUCCUCUUCUUGGCUACACUGGAUAAAGUUAUUAUGAAUCAUUACUGUACACUUCCACAAGCGUAAACUAUAAAACCAGACAGUAAUGAGAAAUGUUGAAAUGAUCUUCAGUACAAGCACCAGCAUUAUUUGGGUGAUUCACAGCAUCCAAACAACGCAUUUUACCAAAACACCCAGAUACACGUCUUUACAUACGAGAAACUCUAUUAAGAAAAGGCUUACCUAAACAAUCAGGUUUUCAGCCUGAAAAGGGGGGGGGGCUUCAGUCCCUGUUGUUGUCUUCAUCAUUCUAGGUACUAAUGAACAACCUGCUUCUUUUGCUCAAAGCAGACAUGGCGGAUCAUAAAAUACCAAAUAUUCACUCCAAGACCUUGGAGCUUUUUUAUAUACCUACUGGAACAUCCAGCUAGGAAGGUAUUACAGUAGUCCAAACUAUAGGCAACAAAGACAAAUGUACAGAGCAGUAUGAUUUGAAGCUAAUCAUUUGAGGUUUAUAUAAGUUAGUAUUCUUUUGUGUCAAUUUACACACACUCCGGAGCACAAAUAAGAUAUGAACAUUCUUCUGAAAUUAUGAGUUUUUCAUAAAUACCAAAUUUGUUGUGUAAAUAAUCCUAUCAGUGAUUUAUGAGUAAAACCAUUUGUAUUCGUAUUUUGCCCAAAAUGUACAUAUUUACAUAGGUACAUACAUUCCUUUUCUUAUGUGUAUUUUUGCAUGCUUUUGUGUGUUGCCUUGCAUUCCCUCUUACCUUGUCCAAAUGGAUAUCAUUUGUUUUAGGAGCUGCCACACCUCAUUUCACUGCACCUCUGUACCAGUUAUGAAUGCACAUGUGACAAAUACACCUUUGAAUCUUGAAAACAUUUUUAACAUAAUGAGACAACAAAAUUAUUUGGUAAUGAUUAUUGUGUAAUUUAUGGAAGAAAAAAAAACUGAUGCAACUGUAGGUGUAUUUUAAACAUCUGUUUUAAACAGUUCCAUGACUGUAUUAAUUCAUGACGGAUAAAUAUAUUUUGUAUUAAUAAAUCUUGUGCCCUUUUCCAUGUAAAG